CAACAGGGAUUGCCUCAGUAACGGCGAGUGAAGCGGCAACAGCUCAAAUUUGAAAUCUGGCUCCUCCGGGUGCCCGAGUUGUAAUUUGCAGAGGGUGUUUCGGGCGCGGCUCCGGUCUAAGUUCCUUGGAACAGGACGUCAUAGAGGGUGAGAAUCCCGUACGUGACCGGUGGCCUACCCCGUGGGAAACCCCUUCGACGAGUCGAGUUGUUUGGGAAUGCAGCUCUAAGUGGGUGGUAAAUUUCAUCUAAAGCUAAAUACCGGCCAGAGACCGAUAGCGCACAAGUAGAGUGAUCGAAAGAUGAAAAGCACUUUGGAAAGAGAGUCAAACAGUACGUGAAAUUGUUGAAAGGGAAGCGCUUGCAGCCAGACCUGCUCACGGGCCCACAGCCGUCACUCGUGGCGGCGCACUGCCCCGUGCCCAGGCCAGCAUCGGUUUCGGCGGCCGGACAAGCCCGGGAAUGUAGCU
Molecule: ribosomal RNA, 469 nt
Filed under: Toensbergia blastidiata
Lineage: Eukaryota; Fungi; Ascomycota; Lecanoromycetes; Rhizocarpales; Sporastatiaceae
Description: partial large subunit ribosomal RNA
Rfam family: Eukaryotic large subunit ribosomal RNA
Source: RNAcentral